RNAcentral lists this ribosomal RNA (468 nucleotides) under uncultured bacterium. RNAcentral's name for it is "partial 16S ribosomal RNA". It matches the Rfam family "Bacterial small subunit ribosomal RNA", at positions 28 to 507 of the family's 1533-position model. The record is from RNAcentral.
GACGAACGCUGGCGGCGUGCUUAACACAUGCAAGUCGAACGGAAAGGCCCUGCUUUUGUGGGGUGCUCGAGUGGCGAACGGGUGAGUAACACGUGAGUAACCUGCCCUUGACUUUGGGAUAACUUCAGGAAACUGGGGCUAAUACCGGAUAGGAGCUCCUGCUGCAUGGUGGGGGUUGGAAAGUUUCGGCGGUUGGGGAUGGACUCGCGGCUUAUCAGCUUGUUGGUGGGGUAGUGGCUUACCAAGGCUUUGGCGGGUAGCCGGCCUGAGAGGGUGACCGGCCACAUUGGGACUGAGAUACGGCCCAGACUCCUACGGGAGGCAGCAGUGGGGAAUAUUGCGCAAUGGGCGGAAGCCUGAUGCAGCAACGCCGCGUGCGGGAUGACGGCCUUCGGGUUGUAAACCGCUUUCGCCUGUGACGAAGCGUGAGUGACGGUAAUGGGUAAAGAAGCACCGGCUAACUACGUG